Molecule: ribosomal RNA, 843 nt
Filed under: Aelurillus cf. ater WPM-2008
Lineage: Eukaryota; Metazoa; Arthropoda; Arachnida; Araneae; Salticidae
Description: SSU rRNA
Rfam family: Eukaryotic small subunit ribosomal RNA
Source: RNAcentral
GUACAUGCCGUAUUAAGGCGAAACCGCGAAUGGCUCAUUAAAUCAGUUAUGGUUCCUUGGAUCGUACCUUACUACUUGGAUAACUGUGGUAAUUCUAGAGCUAAUACAUGCAGCAGAGAUCCGACCUUCGGGGACGAUCGCUUUUAUUAGACCAAAACCAAUCGGACUCUGUCCGUCUCUUGUGGUGACUCUGAAUAACUUUGGGCUGAUCGCACGGGCCCGUCCCGGCGACGUAUCUUUCAAGUGUCUGCCUUAUCAACUUUCGAUGGUAGGUUACGCGCCUACCAUGGUCGUAACGGGUAACGGGGAAUCAGGGUUCGAUUCCGGAGAGGGAGCCUGAGAAACGGCUACCACAUCCAAGGAAGGCAGCAGGCGCGCAAAUUACCCACUCCCAGAACGGGGAGGUAGUGACGAAAAAUAACAAUACGGGACUCUUUUGAGACCCCGUAAUUGGAAUGAGUACACUCUAAAUCCUUUAACGAGGAUCCAUUGGAGGGCAAGUCUGGUGCCAGCCGCCGCGGUAACUCCAGCUCCAAUAGCGUAUAUUAAAGUUGUUGCGGUUAAAAAGCUCGUAGUUGGAUCUCAGUUCCAGACGGGUGGUCCGCCUACCGGUGGUUACUGCCUGUUCUGAACAGCCAGCCGGUUUCUCUUGAUGAUCUUCACCGGUUGUCUUGGGUGACCGGCAAGUUUACUUUGAAAAAAUUAGAGUGCUCAAAGCAGGCGUGACGCCUGAAUAAUGGUGCAUGGAAUAAUGGAAUAGGACCUCGGUUCUAUUUUGUUGGUUUUCGGAACACGAGGUAAUGAUUAAGAGGGACAGACGGGGGCAUUCGUAUUGCGACGCUA